UAGACUAGUGUGUGGCAGGCUGCCACACAUUGCGUUUUGUUAUUUUUUUAACGCUUCUUAAAACAUGCAUUCGUUCAGCUGCAUUUUCUUUCCCUGCUCUCUUCCUUUCUGAAAAAAAGUC
Long non-coding RNA from Etheostoma spectabile (orangethroat darter), 121 nucleotides. RefSeq lists it as uncharacterized. The record is from RefSeq and is a predicted model, not a curated record. The transcript is spliced from 3 exons. NCBI's taxonomy places the organism in Eukaryota, Metazoa, Chordata, Actinopteri, Perciformes, Percidae.